CCGGGCUCAUUUCACCUUUGAAUGUAUCGGCAUCAUAGUGGUAAGUAGUUUUGAAUGAUCCAGAUUUAUCCAUUUAUGGACGUCGCGAAACCGGAGAGAUUGAGAGGGAGAGAAGCUUUGGGCGAUGGAAAAUGAAGAGGUUUUGUAAAGAUUCAAGGAUUUGGAUUUGGAGUAGAAAUGAUUCAGGGGUGGCAGCUAUCGAUU
Molecule: long non-coding RNA, 204 nt
Filed under: Salvia miltiorrhiza (redroot sage)
Lineage: Eukaryota; Viridiplantae; Streptophyta; Magnoliopsida; Lamiales; Lamiaceae
Description: long non-coding RNA (SMIL_LNC013422)
Source: RNAcentral